RNAcentral lists this ribosomal RNA (474 nucleotides) under uncultured bacterium. RNAcentral describes it as "bacterial SSU rRNA". It matches the Rfam family "Bacterial small subunit ribosomal RNA", at positions 335 to 799 of the family's 1533-position model. The record is from RNAcentral.
ACUCCUACGGGAGGCAGCAGUGGGGAAUAUUGCACAAUGGGCGCAAGCCUGAUGCAGCCAUGCCGCGUGUAUGAAGAAGGCCUUCGGGUUGUAAAGUACUUUCAGCAGUGAGGAAGGCGGGUACGUUAAUAGCGUAUUCGUUUGACGUUAGCUGCAGAAGAAGCACCGGCUAACUCCGUGCCAGCAGCCGCGGUAAUACGGAGGGGUGCGAGCGUUAAUCGGAAUUACUGGGGCGUAAAGCGCAUGCAGGCGGUUUUUCAAGUCAGAAGUGAAAGGCUAUGGCUCAACCAUAGUAAGCUUUUGAAACUGUUAAACUUGAGUGCAGGAGAGGAAAGUGGAAUUCCUAGUGUAGAGGUGAAAUUCGUAGAUAUUAGGAGGAACACCAGUGGCGAAGGCGACUUUCUGGACUGUAACUGACGCUGAGGCACGAAAGCGUGGGGAGCGAACAGGAUUAGAUACCCUGGUAGCACAGAG